UCUCGCCCGAUUCAUGACGUUCUGGGCACAUCUUCUUUGUACAGUUAGCAGUCAAAUUAGUAGGUAACAAAUUGAAUUUAAGAAUAAAUAAUUGAAUCAUUAAACUCUAAGAGAAAGAGAAGUUUGGAUGUGUAACCUGAUAUACCGGAUCCUCAUAAUGCCGGCAUAUGAGAGUCCAAUCAUCCAUAGUGAUGCUUCAUAGGACUGCUGCCGCGCUGUCUCCACCUCAUGAUCUUGCAUCACCUGGUACCAAUGCUGA
RNAcentral lists this long non-coding RNA (259 nucleotides) under Elaeis guineensis (African oil palm). RNAcentral's name for it is "long non-coding RNA (EGUI_LNC028879)". The record is from RNAcentral. Lineage: Eukaryota; Viridiplantae; Streptophyta; Magnoliopsida; Arecales; Arecaceae.